UCGGGAAUAUUGCGCAAUGGAGGAAACUCUGACGCAGUGACGCCGCGUGCAGGAAGAAGGUUUUCGGAUUGUAAACUGCUUUAGACAGGGAAGAAAGAAAUGACGGUACCUGUAGAAUAAGCUCCGGCUAACUACGUGCCAGCA
RNAcentral lists this ribosomal RNA (144 nucleotides) under uncultured bacterium. RNAcentral describes it as "partial 16S ribosomal RNA". It matches the Rfam family "Bacterial small subunit ribosomal RNA", at positions 355 to 513 of the family's 1533-position model. The record is from RNAcentral.